AUACGGAGGAUGCAAGCGUUAUCCGGAUUUAUUGGGUUUAAAGGGUGCGUAGGCGGUUUGCUAAGCGGGAGGUGAAAUGCCGGCGCUCAACGUCGGAAGUGCCUCCCGAACUGGUGGACUGGAAUGACUCUGCCGUGGGAGGAAUGUGUAGUGUAGCGGUGAAAUGCUUAGAGAUUACACAGAACACCGAUUGCGAAGGCAUCUCACGAAGGGCUGAUUGACGCUGAGGCACGAAAGCGUGGGGAUCAAACAGGAUUAGAUACCCUGGUAGUCCACGCAGUAAACGAUGAUGGCUAACCGCUGGUUUAUUCGGAUCAGUGGCCAAGCGAAAGCGAUAAGCCAUCCACCUGGGGAGUACGACCGCAAGGUUGAAACUCAAAUGAAUUGGCGG
RNAcentral lists this ribosomal RNA (391 nucleotides) under uncultured bacterium. RNAcentral's name for it is "partial 16S ribosomal RNA". It matches the Rfam family "Bacterial small subunit ribosomal RNA", at positions 523 to 916 of the family's 1533-position model. The record is from RNAcentral.